AUUGAACGCUGGCGGCAGGCCUAACACAUGCAAGUCGAGCGGAUGAAGGGAGCUUGCUCCUGGAUUCAGCGGCGGACGGGUGAGUAAUGCCUAGGAAUCUGCCUGGUAGUGGGGGAUAACGUCCGGAAACGGGCGCUAAUACCGCAUACGUCCUGAGGGAGAAAGUGGGGGAUCUUCGGACCUCACGCUAUCAGAUGAGCCUAGGUCGGAUUAGCUAGUUGGUGGGGUAAAGGCCUACCAAGGCGACGAUCCGUAACUGGUCUGAGAGGAUGAUCAGUCACACUGGAACUGAGACACGGUCCAGACUCCUAAGGGAGGCAGCAGUGGGGAAUAUUGGACAAUGGGCGAAAGCCUGAUCCAGCCAUGCCGCGUGUGUGAAGAAGGUCUUCGGAUUGUAAAGAACUUUAAGUUGGGAGGAAGGGCAGUAAGUUAAUACCUUGCUGUUUUGACGUUACCAACAGAAUAAGCACCGGCUAACUUCGUG
RNAcentral lists this ribosomal RNA (484 nucleotides) under uncultured bacterium. RNAcentral describes it as "partial 16S ribosomal RNA". It matches the Rfam family "Bacterial small subunit ribosomal RNA", at positions 30 to 507 of the family's 1533-position model. The record is from RNAcentral.